AGUGUUCUUGAAGUCAUUACUUACUGAGAAAAGAAUCACUAUCCAAGAUGAAAAAUCAGGAACUUCAACAACAGCUCCUUUAUUUCCAUUUCUACUUCUGAAAUACCAAAAUAUUUGCAGACUGGAUCCAAAUCAGGAGCCCACAUGAACUUAAAGAAGCGAGCAUGGGAUUCUUAGUUUUCCAAGAUCCGUACACACGAAGCCUUUAAUCAGCAUCAACUCCAGUGUCCGUUUUCUCUGGUUUUGUGAAGACUGCACAAAACUCUCAUGAUGGAGAACCAAAGGACUUAGUUACCUGUUUCAGUGUCAUCUAAAGUCAACUGAAAAGUGAAGCAGGCAGUAAUACAGCCAUGGAAAGAAAUUCAAGUUUAUGGAAGAACCUAAUAGAUGAACACCCAGUCUGCACAACCUGGAAGCAAGAGGCCGAAGGAGCCAUUUAUCAUCUUGCCAGUAUUUUAUUUGUAGAUCAGAGUGACAGUUGAUGGUGAAUUUCUGCAUUACAUUUUCCCCCUUCAGUUCCUGGAUUCUCCUGAGUGGGAUUCACUGAGACCCACAGAGGAAGGCAUUUUUCAGGUAACCCUCACUGCAGAAACUGAUUGUCGAUAUGUGUCUUGGAGGAGAAAGAAAUUAUAUCUGCUCUUUGCUCAGCAUCGUUACAUCUCCCGCCUUUUUUCAGUGCUAAUUGGCAGUGACAUUGCAGAUAAACUCUAUGCCUUGAAUGACAGGGUAUAUAUAGGAAAAAGAUAUCACUAUGAUAUUCGGCUACCCAACUUCUAUCAAAUGUCAACUCCAGAAAUACGCAGAUCACCCCUGACACAACAUUUUCAGAAUUCCAGACGAUACUGUGAUAAAUGACAUCAAAGUCUGAAAUUUAUAAGUAUAAAAAAAGACUCUCUCUUCAUCAUUCCCCAGUGAAAUAGCAAAAUACAAAAAAAGAGCUCCCUAAUGUUUUUAUAAAUCAAAUUCAGAAGCGAGAUGCCAUUGCCAACUGUUUUAUUCCUUUCAACAACUGCAUUGUGAAUAAA
RNAcentral lists this small RNA (1025 nucleotides) under Pan troglodytes (chimpanzee). Its description in RNAcentral is "processed transcript". Lineage: Eukaryota; Metazoa; Chordata; Mammalia; Primates; Hominidae. The record is from RNAcentral.